AUCCAGCUGACGAGUCCCAAACAGGAAAGAAUGCGCAUUCUGGAU
RNAcentral lists this non-coding RNA (45 nucleotides) under Trichobilharzia regenti. Lineage: Eukaryota; Metazoa; Platyhelminthes; Trematoda; Strigeidida; Schistosomatidae. The record is from RNAcentral.